Molecule: long non-coding RNA, 1844 nt
Filed under: Daphnia pulicaria
Lineage: Eukaryota; Metazoa; Arthropoda; Branchiopoda; Diplostraca; Daphniidae
Description: uncharacterized LOC124341571, transcript variant X2
Source: RNAcentral
UAAUAAUUUCUAUCGAUCGAUAUCUUAACUGUAACCAAUUAAAAGAUUAGUGUCGUCUGCUCUUGUUUUGUUUUAAAGUUUCGGAGAAAGGGACGACGUUCAAGAUUAGGCUACAAAGAAAACGGAACGAUAACUUUUUGGGAAACGUGUGUGGCUGCACAAAAAAAAGCGUGGAAUAGUAGGCUAUAACUAAUAACAUUACAAAAAUGUGGUGGUCGUUUCGUGUUACUGAUGUCGCGACUCUCAAUGCUCUCCACGAUCUCCACUCGCUGUUUUUGGCGGGUAACCCUUUUCUAUGUGCUGAUUUGAGUCCUGAGUCAGCCAUCGUAACAAUCAGAUGUGCAGAUUUUGCUUUUGCUGAUCUGUCAUCAUCCUGGUGGUCACCUGUCAUCAGCAACAAUUUCCGUUUCAUCAUUGCUUGGAUAAUCAGCAUCCCGUUUUAUUGGAGAAACAACCGAUCUCAGUCGAGUUCCGGAUCUCUUCUUCCUCUUUCUUUAAAUCUCUUCUGUGUACAUCCAUGAGAGUGUGGGGGUAAAAUUCAAGAGGACGUCCUUUUCUCGCCUAGUGGAUUCAACUUUUCAGCGAAUGGAUGGAGGACAUGUGGAUGUCUGGCCGUAUUUCUCAGGCAUAAAGCGAAAUUGGCGGGUGGCAUCGACUCAAAUUGAAAGGAGGAGUUUUUCAACGAAGCCAAAGAAAAUACUCAAAUAGAUGGGGAAUUUUGACUUUCAGCUCACAAGGAAUAUAAGAGAAUAAAGGCGGUUGGUAACAAGCCGCACUACAGUCCACAGUCCUUCUCGGCCGUUGCCCAGGCUUUCCUAUAGACUCCACAAGACUAAAUAGGAUUUGCCUAAUCACAUAGUCAAUGGCAACAAACAGCUGGGCAACCAAACUCGUGGGUAAAAGGUCGCGCAGCGCAAACGAUUUCGGUGACAAGUCAAUAAUUGUGCUGUGGGGCGCCGGGAGAGAGCUGCCGCAUUUCAAACGUAUCUUAGCCGCCGCUCUGCUGCUGCUCCUGCUGCUGCUGCAGCUUCGCUCCUUGUUUGAACGUUCGGAGGGGACGAACUGUUUUAUGAUUAUUUUCUACUAGGCCGACUUAUCUCUAUCUCUCUCCUCUCUCUCUCUCUCUCUUUUAGUCUAUUUAGGCCCCUCUCUUAUAUUUUAUUUUUUUCUCCUCCAUGUUUGUUAUUUGGCUGAACUGCUGCUGCUGCUGCGGCGGCCAACGUUGAACGAUAAGGCAUCGCAUCAUCCGACUUAUCGUGACAAACGUCUUGCGUUCAUUUUGUAUGUGCUGUCCCCCUUAAGAUCUCGUCCUCUUUCCUUUAUGGGAUUUAAAUUGAUUUAUGGACCAUUUCGAUGAUACAGAAACAGGUGCCCGUCUUCCUGGCCAACCACUUUUUCUUUUCUUUUGUUUUGAUUUUUUCGACUUUUUCGUGGGGAUUUUGAAAAUUACCCGAAGUUUUUGAAAGUGACACUGAGAGCUAUUUCCAUCUAGCGGUCGAAUAAGUAAACAGAAUAACGCCAUCUGUUGAAAAAGAUUUUCGAAUCUUUCUUUCGCCAUCUAGCAGCGUGAAUAGCGACUGAAUGGGUAGAAGGUGCGGUAUCUCCCAACCGCCUCAACGCUCAAAAUAGAGCUGAUGUCAUGAAAAUUCGAAAGUAGGCAAAAAAAGGUAUCCCAUAUGUGAAAAAAAUAAAUAACCGCACACGCAAAUGCGAUGGCACAAUCUCAAACCACUUGAUCUGUGACAAUGAAAACCCAACGGCUAAUUUGGUUCUAUCCAAAAGUCAACGAUAAACCCGCUCAAAAUAGCGCAAACUAAGAAUCCUUGUCAACAAUAAAGAUAGUU